This 497-nucleotide ribosomal RNA is filed under the name uncultured bacterium. RNAcentral's name for it is "partial 16S ribosomal RNA". It matches the Rfam family "Bacterial small subunit ribosomal RNA", at positions 28 to 507 of the family's 1533-position model. The record is from RNAcentral.
GAUGAACGCUGGCGGCGUGCCUAAUACAUGCAAGUCGAGCGAACAGACGAGGAGCUUGCUCCUUUGACGUUAGCGGCGGACGGGUGAGUAACACGUGGGUAACCUACCUAUAAGACUGGGAUGACUUCGGGAAACCGGAGCUAAUACCGGAUAAUAUUUCGAACCGCAUGGUUCGAUAGUGAAAGAUGGCUUUGCUGUCACUUAUAGAUGGACCUGCGCCGUAUUAGCUAGUUGGUAAGGUAACGGCUUACCAAGGCAACGAUACGUAGCCGACCUGAGAGGGGGAUCGGCCACACUAGAACUGAGACACGGUCCAGACUCCUACGAGAGGCAGCAGUAGGGAAUCGUCCGCAAUGGGCGAAAGCCUGACGGAGCAACGCCGCGUGAGUGAUGAAGGUCUUCGGAUCGUAAAACUCUGUUAUUAGGGAAGAACAAACGUGUAAGUAACUGUGCACGUCUUGACGGUACCUAAUCAGAAAGCCACGGCUAACUACGUG